GAUCUAUCCUAUGAAGAGGUACCAAUAGGCAUUGUAGACUGGAAAAGUAGAGUACUCCGCAAUCGAAAAAUUCCAUUCAUUAAAGUCCUAUGGCAGAACCACACAUAGGAAGAGGUCACUUGGGAACUAAAAUUAAGCUUCAGGGUCCAAUACCCCCCAGUUAUUCGACUGAGUAAGAGAGUAACCAAUUUGAGGGACCAAAUUUUCUUAAAUGGGAGAGAGUUGUAAUAUCCAAGCUUGAAAAUUACC
RNAcentral lists this long non-coding RNA (249 nucleotides) under Carica papaya (papaya). Its description in RNAcentral is "long non-coding RNA (CPAP_LNC009721)". The record is from RNAcentral. Lineage: Eukaryota; Viridiplantae; Streptophyta; Magnoliopsida; Brassicales; Caricaceae.